UUAAGGUGUGCCGCUAACUUCCAGAAAUCCGACUAACUGUAACAACGGUGUCUCACCCGCUGGUGUCUAGGCUUCGCUUGAGCUUCCGCCCGACCGUCGGAAGCAAUGAGAGCGGGCGGCGCUCCUGAGGGACGGCUUAUGCCCUAUGCUAACGCUUGGGCGUCUUCUGGCCCCCGGUUGAACGCAGACUUAAUGAACGUAGCAUUGUACGUUGCCAGCAAUCAAACACUUCCUAGUACUGUGUGUGAAUAUGUCCUUAUUUCCAGAAUGUGUGAACAUUAUGGAAUAAAAUACUACUCUUAGCGGUGGAUCACUCGGCUCGUGGAUCGAUGAAGAACGCAGCUAGCUGCGAUAACUAGUGCGAAUUGCAGACACAUUGAGCACUAAAAUUUCGAACGCACAUUGCGCCAUUGGGUUCAUUCCCAUUGGCACGUCUGGCUGAGGGUCGAAUUCAUUCAAAUACACGUACUGCCUGAACGUGUGAUGUCGAGGGACAGCGCAUAGAGAGCCGACUUGCUCUCUGGAAGCUCUCCUUCUGUAAGUUUGCACUGCAAGCGCGUCACUUUUGCAGCUCCUCUCGGGGCUCGAAAACGUUGCUGCGUGUACAUGCGCUUAUGCGAGGUUGCCGAGAUGCAGGCUUCCAGCAGUUGAACAUGCCUCAUAUGUCCAGCUGGAAGAUCACGCUAGUGCAUCUGCUUAUGGCAAUUUCGUGCAUGGAGUAUUGCACGCAAACCCUUAUCAUUUGACCU
Molecule: ribosomal RNA, 749 nt
Filed under: Cosmocerca japonica
Lineage: Eukaryota; Metazoa; Nematoda; Chromadorea; Rhabditida; Cosmocercidae
Description: eukaryotic LSU rRNA
Rfam family: 5.8S ribosomal RNA (bases 295-448)
Source: RNAcentral